CCUACGGGUGGCAGCAGUGAGGAAUAUUGGUCAAUGGGCGCGAGCCUGAACCAGCCAAGUCGCGUGAGGGAUGACGGUCCUACGGAUUGUAAACCUCUUUUGCCGGGGAGCAAGCGUGCGUUCGUGAACGCACGUCGAGAGUACCCGGAGAAAAAGCAUCGGCUCACUCCGUGCCAGCAGCCGCGGUAAUACGGAGGUUGCGGAGGUUAUCCGGAUUUAUUGGGUGUAAAGGGUGCGUAGGCGGGAGACCAAGUCAGCGGUAAAAAUGCGGUGCGAAACGCCGUCGAGCCGUUGAAACUGGCGUUCUUGAGUGGGCGAGAGGUAUGCGGAAUGCGUGGUGUAGCGGUGAAAUGCAUAGAUAUCACGCAGAACUCCGAUUGCGAAGGCAGCAUACCGGCGCCCUACUGACGCUGAGGCACGAAAGCGUGGGUAUCGAACAGGAUUAGAUACCCGAGUAGUC
Molecule: ribosomal RNA, 460 nt
Filed under: uncultured bacterium
Lineage: Bacteria
Description: partial 16S ribosomal RNA
Rfam family: Bacterial small subunit ribosomal RNA
Source: RNAcentral